Molecule: ribosomal RNA, 613 nt
Filed under: Latibulus flavopetiolus
Lineage: Eukaryota; Metazoa; Arthropoda; Insecta; Hymenoptera; Ichneumonidae
Description: eukaryotic LSU rRNA
Rfam family: Eukaryotic large subunit ribosomal RNA
Source: RNAcentral
AAACCUGAGAAACCCAAAAGAUCGAAUGGGGAGAUUCAUCGUCAGCGAUUUUGGUACGUGUGCGGUUCGCGAUGCCGGAGACUUCGGUCUUCGGGCACGCGUCCGCAUGUUUUUUAUUGCCUCGAUCGUCGGCGUGCACUUCUCCCCUAGUAGGACGUCGCGACCCGCUGGGUGUCGGUCUACGGCCCGGGUGGUAGCCUGUCUCGCGUACGCUUCACGGCGUCACGGCGGUUCAGACCCCCGGUUGCCCGACCGGCUGCCCGGCGGUACUCGCACGGUAUCUGGCCGCAAGUAUUCAAACUGCGUCCGGCCCGUCGCAAGCGAGGCAAGUGUUUCCCGGUUGUACGGAUCUAAUGCCGUCACCGGGCCUUGCCAGCUGUUGGCUGACGGUGUCCUAGGACUGGCUAAUAGAUACCGGUCGGCGACGCUACUGCUUUGGGUACUUUCAGGACCCGUCUUGAAACACGGACCAAGGAGUCUAACAUGUGCGCGAGUCAUUGGGAACUGUUAAGCCUAAAGGCGCAAUGAAAGUGAAGGUCGGCCUUGCGCCAACCGAGGGAGGAUGGGCCGCGUCACGAUGCGGUCCCGCACUCCCGGGGCGUCUCGUUCUCAU